This is a long non-coding RNA of Xenia sp. Carnegie-2017, 761 nucleotides long. RefSeq lists it as uncharacterized. The record is from RefSeq and is a predicted model, not a curated record. The transcript is spliced from 3 exons. Lineage: Eukaryota; Metazoa; Cnidaria; Anthozoa; Malacalcyonacea; Xeniidae.
CCCACUGAAUGACACCAAUUUUUGAUGAAAACACCACCGUCACCUCGUGUCCGUUAGUCAACGUUAUGCCGACAUGUCGUCAUAACACGGCUUUCCUCAACACGAAUUUGCUUGGCAUUCACGGCCCUGUAGCAUCACAUCUUUAAUUUCUCUUUCAAUUGCUCUGGUGGUGUAUAUUGUAGGUAAACAUCCCGAUCUUUACAUGGAUGAAAUUUUCCACAUUCCACAAGUGCUGAAAUACUGUGUACAUCGUUUCGACGAAGGAAUCCAAUUCCGAUGAACGAUGAUUACGACAUUGCCUCAUGCCUGCCUGGCUUGUACUGAAAUCAUGAAUGUUAGCACUCUAUACCAAGCUCUAUAUUCUUUAUACUUUGGCUCGUCGAAAUUCUGGCCAUGUACUUACAUCGUGAAGUAAAGACGAUGUGAAUGCUCUUGUUCUUGAGAAUGUGAAAAUGAAAUGAAUUCAAUUUGGUCAAGGUUAGAUAACAAAAUGGAAAUCAACAUUUGGGCUGAUUCGUUUAUCUUUUCCGUUUGUGGUCUUCCAUACUGCUCCAUAAGUUAUGUCGUAGAUUCCUCUUCGCCAAGAUCAUCUGAUCAUGUGAGAGCAUUUUGAAACAUACUGUAUCAUAGCAAAGCUCUCUGAUCUAUUUAUAACGCUUCGUAUAGGAUUUCAUUUGUCGACUUGACAUUAUAUUGGGCUCAAUAGUGGGAGAACAUUGGAGUAAGUUGUUGUCUGAAAUUAUAUCCAUUCUAUUGCCUCA